AGCCCAAACCAAACCAUUCCUCUUUAAUUCAAUUAGUUUUCUUCUUCGUGCGAUUAAAAAAAAGGCGGCGAAAGCUCCGGCGAUUUCACCUUCUUCCACUGCGACUCUCUUGUUAAGCUUAGGCGGCAAACCUCUCGAUCACCCUCUUCGGCUGCGACCCUCUCGAAGGUCUCAUUCCUUCAUCUAGGAGGCUCGAUCUCAUCUCCAUCUGCGCUAUCUCGUCAUCGAAGGGUUUCUUUCAGUGUCUAAAAGUGAAGGAAAAUGAUGAAGAAUGUUUUCCAAAUGGUGGAGCUAAUGGUGGACAAUCAUCAAGUUCAUUUAAGUUUCAAAUGAUCUUUGAUUACUUCUCUUUAAAUGAUACAGGAUCUGUUCGAUUUAGAUGAUGUUCCAGAAGGAAAGUCAGCUUUGGAUAUGUACUUAGAGGAUCCAAAGUUAGAUAUGAGGAGCCAUCCUAAUUUGAAAGUUCUGCAGUAUUGGAAAGAAAAUAGAUAUAGCUUUGGCCCUCUGACAUAUAUGGCAAUGGAUGUGCUUAGGAUUCCUAUAACUGCAGUGGCUUCUGAAUCUUCGUUUAGUAUUUGUUCUCAGGUUAUAAGCAAGUAUCAAAUUAGACUGUUGCCUAGUAAUGUUCAGGCUCUAUUGUGUACACGUUCUUGGAUACAUGGUUACCUACUUGAUGAUGAAGAUAAUGGCGAUGGUGAGAUGGUUAUUAUUCGAGCAAGCCCAAAUGGAGUAGAAGAAUCUGGAAGCAGCCAAAGAACUGAGAACCUUCAAUCCAAUCCAUAAUUAACCUCAACGUCUUCCACCGGCACUUGUAAGGAAGAGAAUGGUUCUGUCAGUACGAAGAGAUUCGUAAGCUUUUACGUUGGUGACGAAGAGGAGAGUCUUAAGAGUCUUUUAUAAAUCUAUGUGUUAGUUAUGAAGCAUUGCGUCCUCCUUUACUCUACUCUACUCUAUGAGUAUUCGAGAAGGAAGAAAAGCAGUCAGCAGAAGGCGACAAAUGAGGAGCGUGACGUGGCACAGGAAGGCCACUUGAGUAGUACGGUUAUGAGGAAUAAGGGAAUAAAGAGGGUGAGCUGGAGAUUGGCACCAACAGCCCACGUGAUAUGUUUGCUACCUAGGAACCUUUUAUAUAUAUGAGAGAAGCAUGUAUUGAGAGAGCCAUCUAUAGAUUGGAUCAUAAUUGUAUGAGGGAGAGAGAGACCCUAAGAUACUCUCUGGCUUGUAUUUCGAUCCGUUAACAAAUCAAUACAAAUAUCUUUUCUUUCUAAA
Long non-coding RNA from Brassica napus (rape), 1269 nucleotides. RefSeq lists it as uncharacterized. NCBI's taxonomy places the organism in Eukaryota, Viridiplantae, Streptophyta, Magnoliopsida, Brassicales, Brassicaceae. The record is from RefSeq and is a predicted model, not a curated record. The transcript has 4 exons.